GACAGACAGACAGACAGACAGACAGACAGACAGACAGACAGACAGACAGACAGACAGACAGACAGACAGACAGACAGACAGACAGACAGACAAUUGACCCUAGUUCCCCACUCUGACAUGUGAGCAAGGACUGUAGGAACAUGUUGCAAGAGCUGUCUGUGAUUUGUAGAUUGACGUGGUGGUCUAGCAUAUGAAAAAAUAGCCUAUCGUGAAAGAAUUGUAAGCACACAUAAACAAAUGUAUUAAUUCAUUCCAGAGUAGUAAUAUUAUAAUACCUUUCUAUUGAAUAAAGACAGAGCAGAUAUCCUACCUUGUUCAGAGACUUUGUUCAGACAGGGAUAGACAGAGGCAGGUGCUAUAUGACAUCACCUUGACAGGAGAGAGUGCAGGGAAAACUUGGAUGGACCUCGAUGUAAUGUGCACAACGUGGGACUGUCACCCAGGACAGCAGCUGAUAAGCCUGUAGAGGUAUGUAUAGGGAACAGUACUAUCCAACUCAGGUCUGUAUGUACUCUUACGUAAUUUCCCCCACACCUGAGGGUCAAAUAGCUAGUUAACGAUCCACCGGUAGACUUGAACAAAGGUUACCUUCUGCAGCAGUAGGUGCUGGAAACUGACAAGGAGGUUGUGUGGGGGGUAGCAGACUACAUUACAGCCUAUGGAUCUAGGUUAAGCCUGUGUUGACAUUGCUGUGAAUGUUUACGUGAAUGUUAAACAGUUUUAAGACACAUUUCAUGAGAAACAUAUUUCUGAUUCUAAGAAUAUGAAGUAAAACCAUCACUUUAGCUCAAGACACUGAUCAUUUUGACUGGACUAAAGCAAGCUAUUGUGUCAGCCCUUAUCAGUUCUAAAUCAUGGGGAUGUAACAUUAAUCGAUAUAGCAAGAUAACUUCUGAAAGUUUAUGAGAAAAGAGGAGACUUUGACACACAUACACAGAUCUUUAAUCUGUGGAACAAACAUUGUGCAACAACAACUUGUUGUAGUGUGAAACACCUCUGCAUUGAAAUAAGUGUAACAAAUUAAUGUCAACUAAGUUGUUUUCUAAGAUUAAUGUAUAUUGUUAUUGACCCGUAUUUAAUUUCCAGUGGUUAAAUUCUGUAUUUUAGAUCAAAGUAUCAGUCUUAUGUUGUGUCUUGAGGGGUGUUGGAUUGUAUGACGUGAGAACUGCAAUAAUCUGAAGCUGGACGUGGUGUUUGAGUAAAUGCAGGUGAGAGUUCAACCACGUGCUCCAGUUAUUCUGGGCACCAAGGUCAUUUAGUCAUACCACCAGUCACACCACACCUGCCCUCACUUAUCAUUGCCGCAGCAAGUCUGGAGAUAUGCCAGAAAUAUUAACAGGGCUACAAUAUCAAAAUUGUACAUAGCAACAACUAUAUAUAGGCCAGACUUGUCUAUGAAAUUGGGUCCUGCUUGUGACAUCUCCCCCCCCCCCCAAAAUUGCUUAAUUAAAAAAAAAAAAACAUUCAAAAUAUUUUUUUUAUUUAAAAAAGUACAUACAGGAAAACUGUACAAUUACAUUAAUCAACAUAUCAAAGAUAGCAGACUGAACACAGCAGUGCAGAUCACCUCAAGAUAAAAACGUAGUAUUCAAUAUCUUUAAAUAUUAGCACUUCAAGUACUGGUGGGUAAUAACAUUCAAUCUGGAUAACGACACAAAACAAAUCAUAUGGCUAGAGAAAUGUAUCGACAAAUAUUACGAAAACAAGCAAAACCCAAACAUGACGGAGAGUAAACAAGGAGAACCAAUCUCCAAAAGAAAACAUGAGUCCUCGAUGGAUACAGACGACUUAAGCUUUUCACCACCGGGAAUCUGUUAAAAUCAAUAAAUGACAAACUGGGAAUACUUGAACUAGUCAGUAAAGAUAUAAAAUAAUUGUAGGCGAGCCUACAAAACAAACAAAACAAACAAACAAGCUAAAAGGGACAGUCAAGAAGAUUGAAAUGGACGUUAAUGAACUUAAAAAGGAGAACAUCUUUCUGAGAAAAGUCUAACGGCUCGUGUUCACUAGCACACGGUAUAUUUCCCAGAGUGGCUCGGUUGUGGGCGUGCUGGCAGCAUAUGGCAGCAUUAUAGCAGCACGUUUGAUUGUGCGUCAAUAAUUCAGCAUAGCAAAUUGUAUGAAGGUCUGGCUAUUAAAUGGGUAAAUAGUUUAAUCCUUUCUCAAUUUCAGGAAUUUAUUCACAGGUAAAUAAUAAUAUGCUUUAAAAUGCUCUGGUGACAAACACACUUUGUUGCCCUGUUUCAAAUCGUCCACAUGGCUGAAUCGUCCAUAUGGCUGGGAGAACCUAUUCAAGCAAGUAAAUACAUUUUGAAAAUGUAAAAAAUAAAAUGAUGCAUUAAAUAUCACCAGCUGCCUAACUUCAUAUUAGCUAGGUAUCUUGAUGUAUUUAUCACUGUAAAAAAAAAAACUCCAAAUGCAUUUGUAGGUAGCUAGCUAGCUGUCAAAGUGAGAGAGUAGGCUAUUGUGGAUAGGACAGUUACUUUGUAGUUUCAGUCCAUAGAAGUGAUGUUCAAAGGGAGAGUGUAGGCUAUUGUGGAUAGGACAGUUACUGUGUAGUUUCAGUCCAUAGAAGUGAUGACGGAGAUAAUAGUAACAUAAUAUUCAGUGCGGUCUAAUUUGAGUAUGAUGAAGUCAUAAGUGAUGAUGUUUCUUGUGAGUUCUUUGGUCCUCAGAUACAGAGAGCUGUGAAAGCCUGUCUGCAGACUGAAGAGGUCCCAAUGAAGAGCAGUGGUUCUUAGUCCUGGGGACUCAAAGAGAUACCUUUUAACUGGAGAUCCCUUCAAAAAGAUUGCCAACAGUUACCGUGUAGAGCACUGCCAGAUUGGGUGACCAGGGCCAUCUCGGACUGCCUCCUGGGGAAUUCAGGCGUGUGAAGGCGACCUGUGUCCUGCAUAACUUCAUACGAAUGGACACGAGGACCAGGAGGGGAUCUGCAGCUCGUCGCCGUGUGCCAGAGGAGAAGUCUGCUGCUCUGCAGGAUGUUUCAAGGAUGGUGUCCAACAACGCAGGAAGAGAGGCAAUCUGUGUGAACCCCUCCCGCAUCUGAACUGGCUACAUAGAGGGCACAGCAUGAUCAGAGGUAUGUUUUGACUGAGCCAACCCCCAGUCUUGUCAUCGCCACCUUACCCGCUCUUAAGAUAACCUUUGGACUGACUGGGAGCAAAAGGCUGGUUAGGAGACACCACUAGAGACACUAUUAUAUCUAUCGACACAUCCUCUUUCUUCCUCUGUUUUUAUAAUGCAGACCAGAUGUGCAUUGAAGUACAGAUUGAACUUGUAUUUAUAAUAUUACAAUUAUAAUAUUUAUAAUACAUGUAUUAUGUAUUUAUAACACUUGAAUAAUUACAUUCUUUCAAGAAAGUGUUUCACAUUCUCUACUGAUUGAAAUUAAGUCUCUCAUUUGAUGAAAUACUACACCUAUCCUGUGUUUAUCAGAUCAAUGCAAAUGAAGGAAAUUAGAUAUUGAGAUAAACCGGUUUUACAGUAUUUACAAGAUGCAGAGGAAGUGUGGUGUGCUGUAUUUAAAUUCUGUUUCUGUAUAUAUGAGUUCCAAAUCAUCAGCCUUUAACUAGUUAAAUCAUGUUUCUAGUCUAUUGAAUAGUUACAAUGAGUAACCAUUGAUGUCCCAGGGCCAGAAUUGGUAAACACUGUUGAAGUGUAAUGGGAGUCGUCUGAAGAAGAGGAAUUGGACCAAAGCGCAGUGUGGUAAGUUUUCAUGCCUUUUUAUUGUAACUGAACACUAUAACAAAAUAACAAAGAGAAAUAAAAGAAACCAAAACAGUCCUGUCAGGUGCAGAAAACACUAAACAGAAAAUAACUACCCACAAAAACCAUGUGGGAAAAAGCUACCUA
Oncorhynchus gorbuscha (pink salmon) is the source of this 3855-nucleotide long non-coding RNA. RefSeq lists it as uncharacterized. The transcript is spliced from 5 exons. NCBI's taxonomy places the organism in Eukaryota, Metazoa, Chordata, Actinopteri, Salmoniformes, Salmonidae. The record is from RefSeq and is a predicted model, not a curated record.